CCUACGGGAGGCAGCAGUAAGGAAUAUUGGUCAAUGGAGGCAACUCUGAACCAGCCAUGCCGCGUGCAGGAAGACAGCCCUCUGGGUCGUAAACUGCUUUUAUUCGGGAAUAAACCUCAUUACGUGUAAUGAGCUGAAUGUACCGAAGGAAUAAGGAUCGGCUAACUCCGUGCCAGCAGCCGCGGUAAUACGGAGGAUCCAAGCGUUAUCCGGAUUUAUUGGGUUUAAAGGGUGCGUAGGCGGCUUUUUAAGUCAGGGGUGAAAGACGGUAGCUCAACUAUCGCAGUGCCCUUGAUACUGAAGAGCUUGAAUGGACUAGAGGUAGGCGGAAUGUGACAAGUAGCGGUGAAAUGCAUAGAUAUGUCACAGAACACCGAUUGCGAAGGCAGCUUACUAUGGUUUUAUUGACGCUGAGGCACGAAAGCGUGGGGAUCAAACAGGAUUAGAUACCCUGGUAGUCCACGCCCUAAACGAUGAAUACUCGCUGUUAGCGAUACACAGUUAGCGGCUAAGCGAAAGCGUUAAGUAUUCCACCUGGGGAGUACGGUCGCAAGAUUGAAACUUAAUGAAUUGACCGGNGNGAGAGAGACGAGACGACGACGAGGGAGGAGG
Molecule: ribosomal RNA, 612 nt
Filed under: uncultured bacterium
Lineage: Bacteria
Description: bacterial SSU rRNA
Rfam family: Bacterial small subunit ribosomal RNA
Source: RNAcentral